AACGAACGCUGGCGGUAUGCUUUACACAUGCAAGUCGAACGACUGUUGGUAGCUUGCUAUCAACAGUUAGUGGCAAACGGGUGAGUAACGCGUGGGAAUCUGCCCUAUAGUACGGAAUAGCCGUUGGAAACGACGAUUAAUACCGUAUAUCUUCCCAGGAAGAAAGACUUGUCGCUAUAGGAUGAGCCCAGUUAGAUUAGUUUGUGGUAGGUAAUGGCCUACCAAGACUACGAUCUAUAGCUGGUUUGAGAGGAUGAUCAGCCACACUGGAACUGAGAUACGGUCCAGACUUCUACGGAAGGCAGCAGUGAGGAAUAUUGGACAAUGGGCGAAAGCCUGAUCCAGCAAUACCGCGUGAGUGAUGAAGGCUUUAGGGUUGUAAAACUCUUUCAGUAGGGAUGAUAAUGACGGUACCUACAGAAGAAGCACCGGCUAACUCCGUGCCAGCAGCCGCGGUAA
RNAcentral lists this ribosomal RNA (459 nucleotides) under uncultured bacterium. Its description in RNAcentral is "bacterial SSU rRNA". It matches the Rfam family "Bacterial small subunit ribosomal RNA", at positions 29 to 523 of the family's 1533-position model. The record is from RNAcentral.